RNAcentral lists this ribosomal RNA (571 nucleotides) under Lodderomyces parapsilosis. RNAcentral's name for it is "Candida parapsilosis partial large subunit ribosomal RNA". It matches the Rfam family "Eukaryotic large subunit ribosomal RNA", at positions 68 to 652 of the family's 3401-position model. The record is from RNAcentral. Lineage: Eukaryota; Fungi; Ascomycota; Pichiomycetes; Serinales; Debaryomycetaceae.
ACAGGGAUUGCCUUAGUAGCGGCGAGUGAAGCGGCAAAAAGCUCAAAAUUUGAAAUCUGGCACUUUCAGUGUCCGAGUUGUAAUUUUGAAGAAGGUAUCUUUGGGUCUGGCUCUUGUCUAUGUUUCUUGGAACAGAACGUCACAGAGGGUGAGAAUCCCGUGCGAUGAGAUGUCCCAGACCUAUGUAAAGUUCCUUCGAAGAGUCGAGUUGUUUGGGAAUGCAGCUCUAAGUGGGUGGUAAAUUCCAUCUAAAGCUAAAUAUUGGCGAGAGACCGAUAGCGAACAAGUACAGUGAUGGAAAGAUGAAAAGAACUUUGAAAAGAGAGUGAAAAAGUACGUGAAAUUGUUGAAAGGGAAGGGCUUGAGAUCAGACUUGGUAUUUUGUAUGUUACUCUCUCGGGGGUGGCCUCUACAGUUUACCGGGCCAGCAUCAGUUUGAGCGGUAGGAUAAGUGCAAAGAAAUGUGGCACUGCUUCGGUAGUGUGUUAUAGUCUUUGUCGAUACUGCCAGCUUAGACUGAGGACUGCGGCUUCGGCCUAGGAUGUUGGCAUAAUGAUCUUAAGUCGCCCGU